This is a long non-coding RNA of Manis pentadactyla (Chinese pangolin), 915 nucleotides long. RefSeq lists it as uncharacterized. The record is from RefSeq and is a predicted model, not a curated record. Lineage: Eukaryota; Metazoa; Chordata; Mammalia; Pholidota; Manidae. The transcript has 3 exons.
UGUCUGUAAAUAAGUCUGCUAUGGGCUCACUUGUAUGACAGCAAAGCCAUGUUUCUCAUAAUCCCCAUCUUCAUUUGCCUGCUUAGUCAUUACUGCUUCCCUGUGUCAUCCCAAUGGUCCUCUAUUGUUUUUAUUCCUUCCCAUGCCUGGAUUCUAGGAGUAUGACAAGGAAAAUGAACCAACUCACCAUGAGGGGAGGACGUACUUCUGCCCCCAAGACUACACCAAGAGAUUCAACUCUACCGGCAAUAGGUCUCCUCACCAUGCCAGACCCCAGUUUCCACACUGGCCAAGUCUAGAGCUCUACCAAUGUCAAAGGCUAUCAAGAAGACCAAAUUAAAUCAGAACUGCUGAAGCGCUGUGAGUAGCCAAACACGGUCAUCAAAGAAAGAUCUCAAAGACGAUAGAUGGAAAGGUGUGCAGACACAGAGAAAAAUGAAAGAGUAAGCCUGGAAUGGUUAGCCGCCAUGUAAGUGCUGAAAUGAAUGUGGAUCUUGGUGGGUACAAAAGGCAAGCCAAUUAUCACCUCUGGAACUUGGAAUCAAUUUGUAAGAUGGCUCAACUGCACCCCAGAUGCAUAAACAGAAGUCUAAGAGAUGGUUAUAAAACCCUUGGCUUUUACCCAAGUUACGGUGCUAUGUUAAGGUCAGGUUGAUCAGAGAAUCACUGUGCAAUAAUCUGAGUUUUCCCUUUGAGGGUGUUCAUGAGAUGCGAAACCCAGUGGGAUGGUGACACCUCUCACCCUGAAAACCUCCUGGGGAGAUUUCUUAGCCUAGCUUUAUGACAACUGUCCUCUGGUCUACGAGCUGAAAGAAAUCCAGUUGAUCACCAGCAUUGCCAUUAACAUUUGCACUCAGUGAAGCGGUUAUCCCCAGCUGUGAGGGGUACGUGGCAGGAUCUAUGAUUAUCAGAGUA